GUUUUUUGUUAGUGUAUGGAAUUACAAUUGAUUUUUUAAUAUUAACCUUGAAUCUUGUGGCCUUACUAAAAUUGCUUAUUAGUUGCAGUAGCUUCUUUGUAGAUUCAUUGAGAUUUUUUAUGUACACAAUAAUAAAUCUGCUAACUAAAUUUAGAGGGCACAGGUUAUUCUCAAAUUUGUUAAGCAAUGUAUGCAUGUUUCAUUUGCAUGAAAUGGUCACUGACGUAUACAAAAAAACUUAAGCAAAAAUAUUUCUAAGCUGAAAAACCAUUAGAGCUGGAAGGAAAUUUUGAACUCAUCUUUCCUGAAAAACCAUUAGAGCUGGAAGGAAAUUUUGAACUCAUCUUUCCUCCUCACACUACCACUAAUUUUAUGGAUGAGCAAACUAAAAGCUGGAAGCUUAAAGGCCUUCCUCAACAUCAUACAGCGAAUUCAUUUUAUAAAGAUUAUGAGUUUACAUGGUAUAUAACAUACCAAAAGGCAAUAUGGGUUCUUUAUCUGUCCGUUUAUACAUACUUCUAGAAAAUAUGAAUUGAUUACCAAUUUCAUGCUAGACAUUGUGCUCAGUGCUGUACUGUGUUCUGUAACAUUUCUGAGACUGAGUGCAUUCUUGCAUCCUCAUUAGUAUCCACUUGCCCUUUUGCUCCUCCAGGGACAGAAAUGAGAAAAGCCAGACUUCGAAGCCUAACUUUCAGGGGCUCACAUCACUUCUGUUCCUGUGUCGUGGCACCAUCCAACAGUGGAGAAACUUCUGGGUCUGUGUUUCCAAGUGGGCAUCAGGAAGAACAGAAUACAUUUUGCAGAACUCUCAUUGAAUGGAAUCAAUCCUAAAUCCAAUAUCUACACUCUGAAAGGUAAUCGGUAUGAAAACAAUGAAAUAUUGAAUGGCCAAUAGGAAAAAAAAUCUGAAACGGCAAACUUUAGCAUGUGAAUGCUAUGGGCAGUCAGGAAAUUUUAUACAAAGUGAAGUUCUCUUGCCCGAUGGAGCUAUCAUUCUCUUAUUCUAACUGUGGAGAUACAGAGCUUCUUUAAUGGUUAAGAUUCAUGUACAUUUAU
RNAcentral lists this long non-coding RNA (1056 nucleotides) under Macaca mulatta (Rhesus monkey). RNAcentral describes it as "lncRNA (ENSMMUG00000057555.1)". The record is from RNAcentral. Lineage: Eukaryota; Metazoa; Chordata; Mammalia; Primates; Cercopithecidae.